This 799-nucleotide ribosomal RNA is filed under the name Gymnothorax miliaris (goldentail moray). RNAcentral describes it as "partial 16S ribosomal RNA". It matches the Rfam family "Bacterial large subunit ribosomal RNA", at positions 1069 to 2426 of the family's 2925-position model. The record is from RNAcentral. Lineage: Eukaryota; Metazoa; Chordata; Actinopteri; Anguilliformes; Muraenidae.
AAGGAGCCUCCCUCAGUGGGCCUAAAAGCAGCCACCUGUAGAAAUAGCGUUAUAGCUUAAGAAAGACGCAGCCAACAAUAACAGUAAACCAAACCCAACCCCCUUAAAGUACCGAGCCCCCCUAUAAAAAUAGGGAAGAUAAUGCUAGAAUUAGUAAUAAGAGGGGCAUGCCCCUCUCCAAGCACAAGUGUGAGUCAGGCAGAACUAAUCACUGACAACUAGCGGGCCCAACAGAGGGGAUAGCAAAGGAUAAAAAUGAACAAGCAAACCACGCCCCAACCACCGUCAACCCAACACAGGAGUGCACCAAGGAAAGACUAAAAGGUGAAGAAGGAACUCGGCAAAAUAUGGACCCCGCCUGUUUACCAAAAACAUCGCCUCUUGCAAACAUUGAAGUAUUAGAGGUCCCGCCUGCCCUGUGACAGCAGUGUUUAACGGCCGCGGUAUUUUAACCGCGCGAAGGUAGCGUAAUCACUUGUCUUUUAAAUGGAGACCUGUAUGAAUGGCAUAACGAGGGUUUGACUGUCUCCUACACCUAGUCAAUGAAAUUGAUCUGCCCGUGCAGAAGCGGGCAUACCUACAUAAGACGAGAAGACCCUAUGGAGCUUUAGGUAAAUGAUCAAGCGAAACAAGUCACGGCCAUUAACAAAGGCCUAGAAAAACAAGAACUAAUGAUCAAGAUGCCUUCGGUUGGGGCGACCAUGGAGGAAACAAAAGCCUCCAAGUGGAAAGGGAAAACCCUUGAACUAAGAGGGACACCUCGAAGUGACAGAAUUUGUGACCAAAUAUGACCCAGGAU